Long non-coding RNA from Folsomia candida, 596 nucleotides. RefSeq lists it as uncharacterized. The transcript is spliced from 2 exons. The record is from RefSeq and is a predicted model, not a curated record. NCBI's taxonomy places the organism in Eukaryota, Metazoa, Arthropoda, Collembola, Entomobryomorpha, Isotomidae.
AGUCGGUGCAUGAUUUUCCAUUAUACAACAAGGAUCAAUGUGGUCGCAGCCGUCUACAGUUCAGUGGUUCACUGGUAAUUAACCAACAACUACUGGAGAUGAUGAUUCCCGGAACAAGCUGGCACUUUAUCCGGACGAUGGAAAAUUUCCUAAAGCACAACUCCAAAGUAUUUCAUUAGCGAGGCAAGCAACCCUAUUUACUUAUGUAGAAAGAAGUCCGUCCGUCAAUGAGGAAAGGCAUGUGGUGGAAUACGCAGGCUACCAAAUCUCAGCAAAAUUUAAGAACUGAGAGCAAAAAUGAAGUACCGUCUUCAUAAAUUUCAGUUUCGCAUGGCUCGGGAACAAGUAUUACGAUGAUGAUGAUGAUGGUGGUUUGAGUAAAUUUCGUGUGCAAAAUUGGUUCCCAAGAAAUAUGACGAUCAUAACGAAGCCUGGUUUUGCACAAGUAAAAGAUUGGGAAUUCACCGCUUGCUUGUAACACGAAUACAAUGUGCAAACGCCGUUGUCCAAGUUGUGCAUAAGGAAAUAUGUGUAAGAUGCAUGUAAAGCAUGGAUAUUGCAAUAAACCCGUGUAAGCAGAAGCAUGGAUGCAUGUA